UACCAGCACCCCGAGUGGUCGGGACGAUUAUUGGGCCUAAAGCAUCCGUAGCCGGCCUUAUAAGUCCUCCGUUAAAUCCAGCUGCUUAACAGAUGGGCUGCGGAGGAUACUAUAAGACUAGGAGGCAGGAGAGGCAAGCGGUACUCAGUGGGUAGGGGUAAAAUCCGUUGAUCCAUUGAAGACCACCAGUGGCGAAGGCGGCUUGCCAGAAUGCGCUCGACGGUGAGGGAUGAAAGCUGGGGGAGCAAACCGG
This 253-nucleotide ribosomal RNA is filed under the name uncultured bacterium. Its description in RNAcentral is "partial 16S ribosomal RNA". It matches the Rfam family "Archaeal small subunit ribosomal RNA", at positions 474 to 727 of the family's 1478-position model. The record is from RNAcentral.